This 211-nucleotide ribosomal RNA is filed under the name Stegodyphus mimosarum. RNAcentral describes it as "eukaryotic small subunit ribosomal RNA". The record is from RNAcentral. Lineage: Eukaryota; Metazoa; Arthropoda; Arachnida; Araneae; Eresidae.
UCAGUAGUAGUUCCUUGGAUUGUACCUUACUUACUUGGGUCACUGUGGCAGUUCUAGAGCUAAUACAUGCAGCAGAGCUCCAAUCCGCUGAGGACGAGCUCUUUAUUAGACCGAACCCAAUCGGGCCUCGUGUCCGUAUUAUGUGGCGACUCUGUGUAAAUUUGGCCUGACCUCAAGGGUUCGUCCGGCGACGUAUUUUUCAAGUGCCUGC